This 446-nucleotide ribosomal RNA is filed under the name uncultured bacterium. RNAcentral's name for it is "partial 16S ribosomal RNA". It matches the Rfam family "Bacterial small subunit ribosomal RNA", at positions 338 to 795 of the family's 1533-position model. The record is from RNAcentral.
CCUACGGGUGGCAGCAGUCGAGAAUCAUGCACAAUGGGGGAAACCCUGAUGCUGCGACGCCGCGUGGGGGAAUGAAGGUCUUCGGAUUGUAAACCCCUUUCAUGUGGGAGCAAAUUAAAAAGACAGUACCACAAGAGGAAGAGACGGCUAACUCUGUGCCAGCAGCCGCGGUAAUACAGAGGUCUCAAGCGUUGUUCGGAAUCACUGGGCGUAAAGCGUGCGGAGGCUGUUUCGUAAGUCGUGUGUGAAAGGCGAGGGCUGAACCCGCGGACGGCACAUGAUACUGCGAGACUAGAGUAAUGGAGGGGGAACCGGAAUUCUCGGUGUAGCAGUGAAAUGCGUAGAUAUCGAGAGGAACACUCGUGGCGAAGGCGGGUUCCUGGACAUUAACUGACGCUGAGGCACGAAGGCGAGGGGAGCGAAAGGGAUUAGAUAUCCGAGUAGUC